Molecule: ribosomal RNA, 253 nt
Filed under: uncultured bacterium
Lineage: Bacteria
Description: partial 16S ribosomal RNA
Rfam family: Bacterial small subunit ribosomal RNA
Source: RNAcentral
UACGUAGGGCGCAAGCGUUGUCCGGAAUUAUUGGGCGUAAAGAGCUCGUAGGCGGCCAGUUGCGUCUGCUGUGAAAUCCCGGGGCUCAACCCCGGGCGUGCAGUGGAUACGGGCUGGCUAGAGGCAGGCAGGGGAGAACGGAAUUCCCGGUGUAGCGGUGAAAUGCGCAGAUAUCGGGAGGAACACCCGUGGCGAAGGCGGCACUCUGGGACGGUACUGACGCUGAGACGCGAAAGCGUGGGGAGCGAACAGG